AUUCACAAGUAGUUAACCAGC
Molecule: non-coding RNA, 21 nt
Filed under: Rattus norvegicus (Norway rat)
Lineage: Eukaryota; Metazoa; Chordata; Mammalia; Rodentia; Muridae
Source: RNAcentral